RNAcentral lists this ribosomal RNA (803 nucleotides) under Gaeana maculata. Its description in RNAcentral is "SSU rRNA". It matches the Rfam family "Eukaryotic small subunit ribosomal RNA", at positions 992 to 1797 of the family's 1831-position model. Lineage: Eukaryota; Metazoa; Arthropoda; Insecta; Hemiptera; Cicadidae. The record is from RNAcentral.
AGAGGUUCGAAGGCGAUCAGAUACCGCCCUAGUUCUAACCAUAAACGAUGCCAGCCAGCGAUCCGCCGAAGUUCCUCCGAUGACUCGGCGGGCAGCUUCCGGGAAACCAAAGCUUUUGGGUUCCGGGGGAAGUAUGGUUGCAAAGCUGAAACUUAAAGGAAUUGACGGAAGGGCACCACCAGGAGUGGAGCCUGCGGCUUAAUUUGACUCAACACGGGAAACCUCACCAGGCCCGGACACCGGAAGGAUUGACAGAUUGAGAGCUCUUUCUUGAUUCGGUGGGUGGUGGUGCAUGGCCGUUCUUAGUUGGUGGAGCGAUUUGUCUGGUUAAUUCCGGUAACGAACGAGACUCUAGCCUACUAAAUAGACGAUUUCCGGUAUCCACAAUAGUGCUACCGGCGAAAUCAAUAUCUUCUUAGAGGGACAGGCGGCUUUCAGCCGCACGAAACUGAGCAAUAACAGGUCUGUGAUGCCCUUAGAUGUCCUGGGCCGCACGCGCGCUACACUGAAGGAAUCAGCGUGUACACCCUGGCCGAAAGGCUCGGGCAACCCGUUGAACCUCCUUCGUGCUAGGGACUGGGGCUUGCAAUUGUUCCCCAUGAACGAGGAAUUCCCAGUAAGCGCGAGUCAUAAGCUCGCGUUGAUUACGUCCCUGCCCUUUGUACACACCGCCCGUCGCUACUACCGAUUGAAUGAUUUAGUGAGGUCUUCGGACUGGUGCGCGGCGGCCGCCUGCGCGGCCGCCGAUGCCACCGGGAAGAUGACCGAACUUGAUCAUUUAGAGGAAGUAAAAGUCGUAACAA